UACGAAGGGGGCUAGCGUUGCUCGGAAUCACUGGGCGUAAAGGGUGCGUAGGCGGAUCUUUAAGUCAGGGGUGAAAUCCCGGGGCUCAACCCCGGAACUGCCUUUGAUACUGAGGAUCUUGAGUUCGGGAGAGGUGAGUGGAACUGCGAGUGUAGAGGUGAAAUUCGUAGAUAUUCGCAAGAACACCAGUGGCGAAGGCGGCUCACUGGCCCGAUACUGACGCUGAGGCACGAAAGCGUGGGGAGCAAACAGG
Molecule: ribosomal RNA, 253 nt
Filed under: uncultured bacterium
Lineage: Bacteria
Description: partial 16S ribosomal RNA
Rfam family: Bacterial small subunit ribosomal RNA
Source: RNAcentral